GGUGUAGAGCUGCUUACAAACGGGCAGAGCUGCUGCAGGCUGCCAGCACUGGCUGAGCAGGGCUCCUGGGGGGGUUCCUGCCACCAGAGGCCCACAGCAUGCUCAGUUAAAAGAAGGCAAAGAGCAAAUGCAACUUGGUUGCUGAUUCUACAGACCACAGCAGAAUUUCAGGCUGCUUAAUCAGUAAGAGGAUUUAGCAAACAGCGAGUUACAAUUUGCUCCCUACCCAGCUGGAAGUGGAAGCCCAGAACACCUGCGUAUAAAAAUGCCACUAAAGGUGCAACCCCAUAAUGGACUUAAGCCAAUUUCAGAUGCUGCUGCUGCCAAACGAGGAAACAACCUUCUUCUCUCCCCCCGUGCUGGCAUUUGGCAUUUUCUGACAGCACAGGGGAUCAGCUCAGCCUGUUUCAGCAAACUAAAGGUGAAGCAUGCAAACGGUGAAUCAAAGCUCAACCUAUUUUUAUUUUAUUUUCCUCUUCCUUUCUCAUUUUUGUUGCCAGCAUGUGACUGAGCAGCUAACACCAGUGUUUUCUGCGCUUUGCCUCUUGCCACUUGCUGCCACCUCCAGAUGUCUCGGUGGCUGCAUGUUGAGCUGAACUGGGGAACUGCUCCAUCUGAACAAUAGCCCGGAAAAAAUCCAAGCAGAAAAGGUUGUUGUUUGGCAGGUGAAUGUGCUCCAACCCAGUUUACAGUACAGACACUCAGCCUCGGCAGGGGACAGGGCAAGAAGAGCUUGAGGGGCACAAACAGCACAGAAGUAGAGCAAGGGGCAGGAACAGCCCCUGCAUAUAGCAGGACAGCCCCAAAGAGCGUUCCUUGAUCGACCACCCCCUUGUGAGCAAGCUUUUGAAAGAUGAUUACGAUGCACAACGCUGCUACAAGUUAUGGCAGCAAAUUUUAAAAAUGUGUGAGCGAUACAGAGUGCAACAAAUGGGCCCUUUUCUACCAGGCACGGCUGGUUUUAGCCCAACCCAUCAUCUGAUAGAGCAGGAGGUCAAUUUAUAUAAAUGUAGCAAGGAGGAAACUGAAGAAGAGGUCAACAAAACAGUAAGAUGGUAGGGAGUUAAUUUUGAUAUGUUGUCCUAAGAGAUCAAUUAAGUCCUUGACAAUUACAGGAAAUCUUAAGAUGCAUCUCAUGUUUAAUUUAAUAAUUGCAACCGCAGUUAGACUACGUAGCUUGACAAAUUAAGCACAUUGCCUUUUAAAAUAUCAAUCUAAUUAACUGGACUUAGCUUUAGUUUGAUGCUUGAUAGAUGUUUGAGGUCUGUAGAAAUUGUAGUACUGACUUUCCCAGUAGAAGUUUCCCCCCGGCAUCACUGGGCGCACACGGCUAUUUGAAAAACUCAUUUUAAAAAAAAAUCUGGUCUGAUCUUGGAGGGCCCUAUUCUUGCUACCAGUUAUUAUUUAAUAUAGGAAGCACUUCAGAGAUUAUUUUGCGAGUCUGGCCUUGAUCCAACUAAGAUUUUAAGUGCCUGCCUCCCUUCCAUAUAUAUUGCUAAUCCUCCAAUUGAUUUGUGCAGAAAUAUUCACAUGAUUCAAAUUAAACUUAAGUGCAUUGCUGGAGCAGAGCCAGAGAGCACUGAACAUUGCAUGAUUGAGCCCACAAUGGCCAAAGGUUCGCAGAUUGUCCCAUUCAACUUCACGGAUCGAAAUCCACGUCUCUGUGGAAGGACAUCACACAGAAAAUUUAUACCUCACUUAAAUCCUCCUCCAGCUUGAAAAAUCCUCUGCGGGAAUUAUCUUUUCCCAUGAUACUUCUGGUAUGUGCCCUGAUUUCCUCAGUAAAGAUGGAUUUGAGUAGUGUAACUACAUUUUCCAGUGCUUGCAAUGCACCACUUAAGGUGUUCUCCACUCCAGGACCAGCAGUGGCAGAGCUGAACAAUACCUGCUGGCAGAAGGUCACAUUCCUUCAAAUCCCAAUAGGCUUGGCUUUCAGAAAAAGAAAUAAGCACUAAACAAGUUUUCUCAUCAUUUAGAAGUUGUCUUCCCUUGUCUUAGCCUUUUAAUAAGACUUUGAGAACUUAAUUAUAAAGCCCUUUAAAGUCAUGUAUAAACGCUAGUUUGAUCAAGAAAAUGCCAUGUAACCUUUUAGAGACCUCAGCUCACAGCUUUUCAGUUGACUAAGAAAAAUUUAGGAGACAAAAGAAAGAUAAGAAUAGAAUACCGGUGGCCUUCACCAAAGUGAAGAUGCUGAUCCCAAGAGAAGCAAAAUAUUCCUCCAGCCUGAGUGUGGGGGCGACUCAGUCCUGAAGAAUCAUGGCCUGCGAGGAGCCACGAGAAGCAGCAGUGGCUCGCUUGGCAGUUUCCAAAGCUCUACCAGGGGAAAUGGGUGUGAGAUUUAAGGGCUUUAAGAAAUGAGUGUUUGCCUUUUCCCUGGACAAGGCUCUUGUUCCAAGGUGAGGCUGGUACAUACACCAAGCCCACACCAAGGCUAAGGAGAUGUGGCUCUACACGUGGGAAAAUACAAAGGUCAAACUGAAGCUGCCUUCUCGAUGACUGGAGGAAAGAUCCUUGGAGAUCAGGGUGAUAACUGAUGGGACUUAAAUGGAAGUUUUCGUCUGUUUUAGCACUAAGCCCAUUUUGACUUCCCAACAGAGGUGUUGAGCUGCACCCCUCUCCCUCAAGAGCCAGGAAAACACCCUUUUUGUGAACACCAGUGGUUAUUGCCACCAAAAAUGCAUGCACACACACAAUCUUCUAACAUCAGCUUUAUGGCAUCAGGAAUUUUCAUCUCCUCAAAGUCACCUAGGAGAUCCAUGGAAGUGGCAACCACACAUUUGAACAAAAUCUCCAGUGUUGUAGCCUACCAGAGGAAAAAAAUGCCCUAACUUGUCCCCUUUCCAGCUAUAAAUCCCUAACGCAUUUCUCAAUUCUGCUGAAGUAAUCAUCUGAGGACUAUCACUGCGUCACUGAAGGUCUACUCAAAUUAUUUAUUAAAAUAAAAGGGUGCGAUAAGUAGACCAAAAUCAGUGUGUACUGAGUUUAUUUUGCAUAUUGGGAAAUUUUCAUGUUUCGUUCUGAAACAGGUCGUUAUACUUGCUACUACAGACUUGGCA
Molecule: non-coding RNA, 3056 nt
Organism: Anas platyrhynchos (mallard)
Lineage: Eukaryota; Metazoa; Chordata; Aves; Anseriformes; Anatidae
Source: RefSeq, a predicted model, not a curated record